RNAcentral lists this ribosomal RNA (411 nucleotides) under uncultured Armatimonadota bacterium. RNAcentral's name for it is "uncultured Armatimonadetes bacterium partial 16S ribosomal RNA". It matches the Rfam family "Bacterial small subunit ribosomal RNA", at positions 338 to 764 of the family's 1533-position model. The record is from RNAcentral. Lineage: Bacteria; Bacillati; Armatimonadota.
CCUACGGGAGGCAGCAGUCGGGAGUCUUGCACAAUGGGGGAAACCCUGAUGCAGUGACGCCGCGUGCGGGAUGAAGUCCUUCGGGACGUAAACCGCUUUUGUCCGGGAAGAAGUUCUGACGGUACCGGACGAAUAAGCCCCGGCUAACUACGUGCCAGCAGCCGCGGUAAAACGUAGGGGGCGAGCGUUGCCCGGAUUUACUGGGCGUAAAGCGCGCGUAGGCGGCUGCGUAAGUGGGGAGUUAAAGCCCUCGGCGCAACCGAGAAAAGGCUCCUCAAACAGCGGGGCUUGAGUGUAGGAGAGGGGAGUGGAAUUCCCGGUGUAGCGGUAAAAUGCGUUGAUAUCGGGAGGAACACCGGUGGCGAGGGCGAUCAUCUGGCUCGUAACGGACGCUCAGGGACGAAAGCGUGG